AGAGUCUUGAAGAACUCUGGGACGGUGAGAUAUGAGA
RNAcentral lists this small RNA (37 nucleotides) under Arabidopsis thaliana (thale cress). Its description in RNAcentral is "ATSL121930". Lineage: Eukaryota; Viridiplantae; Streptophyta; Magnoliopsida; Brassicales; Brassicaceae. The record is from RNAcentral.